Molecule: ribosomal RNA, 514 nt
Filed under: uncultured Bacteroidota bacterium
Lineage: Bacteria; Pseudomonadati; Bacteroidota
Description: bacterial SSU rRNA
Rfam family: Bacterial small subunit ribosomal RNA
Source: RNAcentral
GCUUGCUCUGCUGACGACCGGCGCACGGGUGCGUAACGCGUAUGCAACCUACCUUCUACAGGGGGAUAGUCAAUAGAAAUGUUGAAUAAUACCCCAUACGAUCUUUGAGUGGCAUUACUUAAAGAGGAAAGCUUCGGCGGUAGAAGAUGGGCAUGCGUCCUAUUAGUUAGUUGGUGAGGUAACGGCUCACCAAGACUACGAUAGGUAGGGGCCCUGAGAGGGGGAUCCCCCACACUGGUACUGAGACACGGACCAGACUCCUACGGGAGGCAGCAGUGAGGAAUAUUGGACAAUGGAGGCAACUCUGAUCCAGCCAUGCCGCGUGCAGGAAGACUGCCCUAUGGGUUGUAAACUGCUUUUAUACAGGAAGAAACCUACUCACGUGUAAGUAGCUGACGGUACUGUAAGAAUAAGGAUCGGCUAACUCCGUGCCAGCAGCCGCGGUAAUACGGAGGAUCCAAGCGUUAUCCGGAAUCAUUGGGUUUAAAGGGUCCGUAGGUGGUUUAUUCAGUCA